GCUUUUUAUUCUGAAAAUUUUAUUUCAACAUUUUCUUCAAGCUCAUAUUUUUGCUAAAUCAUUCAUUUUUUCUUAUGAAAAAAAGUUUUAUGCAUUUUUAGGGUUUCUUUAUUGCACUUAAUAGAAAACUUAUCCUUUUUCAUAUUUAAACUUACAUUUAGAACAUUGCUGCUUAUAUUUAAAUAUCUUUAAACUUGCUUUAAUUCAAAAUUAUUGAGCUUGAUUCACAGAAUGUUUCAACCAAAAAAGUUCUAAAAAACAAAUCUAGAUAUAAAUUAAAAUAAAACAAGGAUAUCAUGCAAAAUUUGAAAUUUUAUGUGAGCUUCAAUUUUAUUUAUUGAAAAUGUACGUUAGAAAAGGAAGGGGAGAGUGGAAAGUAGAAAUGAUAUACUAUCGGUGAGAAAAAUAAUGUGUGUGUUGCAUUAACAAAGAUUUAAAUUUUCAACUAACUUUUAUAAUCUGGAACAAAAAGAAAAUAGUCUACUGAUGGAAAAUUAGUAAUUUUCAGAAAUUCCAUUUUUUAAUGAAAUUUACUGAAAGUUCUCUGCUGGCUGGAUUCUAGAUGUCACCAUUUAAAUAAUAAUAAUUGUGUCUUACUGUAGAAUGUAAAAAAAAAUCUUGUGCUAAGCUAUUAUAAAACACAAAAUGAUAUAAAUAAUUGUGCGCAUAUGUAUACAGUGUAUAUCAACUUUUAUUUUCAUCACAGACUAUCACUUCAUAUGUGUGUGAGGAAAUUGAACCUGGAAUAAAAAGAUAUUUUAUUGUUAUUAGAAGAAAUGAAAAGCAGUGGAAAGCUUACAUGGGGCACACUGAUUUUUCUAAUUUAGAAGAAACUGGAAAUGACAGUGUUAAAAUACAUCAGAAGAAUGAAACUCAAGAAGUAGCAUUGAUCUCAACAUAUAAUCUGUUCCUAGCUCGCCUACUUUUGCCAAUAAGUCUGCCUCAUCAGGAUUAUCGGUCUGUCCCCUGCCAACAUCUCCUGUGGCUACUGCAGCUGGCAAUACUGUCCGUCCAGUUACCGCUUUUGUACCUCGUCAAAGGUUUUUUCUGAUGAUGGUUAAAGAUAAAAAUUGAAUUCCAGGUUCAAAGAGAACAAGGAGAUCAGAAGUAGAAACAGCCAUGAGAGAGGAAAAAUGUGCAAUUAAAGAAAGGAGUAUUGUCGAUGGAGAAUUUUUGCCCCAAGCAUUUACAUUCCCCGGAACUCUGCUGUUUCAAAUCAACUGAGAAGUUCUUAGCAUUCUCUGUAUAGAUCUGAUAUAGUUCCAUGCAAUAAUCAAUUGUUUGGUCACCUGAAGAAAUGCUACCAUGUUUUUUAUACAGUGAAAAAAAGCCUUGCUUAGGAAUCUGCAGAGAGAUUUUAGAAAGAGUAUUGAAUAAUUUAAUGCAACGUACGAAUAUUUGCUUAGACUACUUAAGGCUUCUUUUCUGAAUGACACUGUGUUGCAAUUUUCUGCUGAUAUCAAUACAAAAACUAACAUCUCAUGUACUAAUUCAUUUUUAUCUCACCCCGUUUUUUUGUUCUUUCAAAAUUUUGCUUUAUUUCUUAUACAUCUUACUUUCCUUUUGAGCUUUAAAAUAAAAUUUUAUGAACUUGA
Molecule: non-coding RNA, 1595 nt
Organism: Parasteatoda tepidariorum (common house spider)
Lineage: Eukaryota; Metazoa; Arthropoda; Arachnida; Araneae; Theridiidae
Source: RefSeq, a predicted model, not a curated record